This 268-nucleotide ribosomal RNA is filed under the name uncultured bacterium. RNAcentral describes it as "partial 16S ribosomal RNA". It matches the Rfam family "Bacterial small subunit ribosomal RNA", at positions 335 to 596 of the family's 1533-position model. The record is from RNAcentral.
ACUCCUACGGGAGGCAGCAGUGGGAAUAUUGCACAAUGGCGCAAGCCAUGAUGCAGCCAUGCCGCGUGUGUGAAGAAGGCCUUCGGGUUGUAAAGCACUUUCAGUCGUGAGGAAGGUAGUGUAGUUAAUAGCUGCAUUAUUUGACGUUAGCGACAGAAGAAGCACCGGCUAACUCCGUGCCAGCAGCCGCGGUAAUACGGAGGGUGCGAGCGUUAAUCGGAAUUACUGGGCGUAAAGCGCAUGCAGGUGGUUUGUUAAGUCAGAUGUG